UGUAACGAGUGGGACUGCAGCCCCCGGGGCUGCCGCCAGGUAAGCGUGGGGCAGCUUCCACCCGGCAAAGCAGCCCGGGACAAAGGGAAUCCAAAGGGAAUCCCAAACCCUCCUUCGCCCGCCGUCGAAGCCCCUUCUGCUGGCCUGAGCGGGCUUCACCGGGGCAAACGGGGGGGCUGGGUUAGCAGCGGGGGCUGUACCCCCGCUCUUUGCUCACCGUUUCAGCUGGGUGCCGAGCCUGCCCCCGCAGGUGAGCGCCGCACACGGGGCGCUGCCCGCCUCCCGGCCCGGCCCGGUGCCGGUGCUCGGCGGCCCCCCCGGGCAGCCCCGCCGCAGCUUUCCGGCCCCUCCCUCUGCCUCCCGGGGUCCCCUCGCCCCUUCCCGAGCGGAGCGGAGCCGUGCGGUAAGUGCGGAGCCCCGGGCGCGGAGUCCCUGUCGCGACAGAGCAGCGCGGCGACAGCUCGCUGUCGGGGAGUCCCCCGGCCCCUCGGAGCGGGGGACGCGCUCCAGAGCCGUUUCCAGGCUACCGGGAUAAAUAGGCAAAUAUUUCCUUCCACUGCUUCUCUUCUCUCUGCCUCUCUUUGUUGUUGUUGUUGUUCUGAAAGUGGCAAAUUGUCAAGGAAAAAAAAAAAAAGAAAGAAAGAAAAAAGUUGCUGUAGAUGUUUCGGGGCUGUUGCUUUAUUGAAAACAACUCCCUGGGUGGAGGCGAGAGCAGCCUGCGGUUCGGUGGGAGUGUUUGCAAAUCAAAUGUCACUUGGAGGUGGGGGAAAUCUGGCAGACCCGUUCCGUAGGAGCCUUCUCCAAGUCGUGCAGGCUCGCUGGCCUCAUGUGAGCUUAACGAAAACCAACGGGAAGUUUGAAAGGAAAGGGAGAAGAUGGAUGGGAAAGCAAAGGAAAGUGCUUGCUGCCUGCUUCUGCCAGCAUGCUUGGGUUCCUGGAAAGAGCGGUGCUGGGCAUGAACUGGCUGCCCCCUUGGGAGAGCGGGGCAGGGUCCGUGGUGGGGACAUUCGGGGGACCAGGCUGGGAGGUGGGCACAGCAAUGCAGCCCCCAGCAGCAGAAUUGCUCAUGGUGUGGUCAGGGCUUGA
Molecule: long non-coding RNA, 1086 nt
Filed under: Anas zonorhyncha (Eastern spot-billed duck)
Lineage: Eukaryota; Metazoa; Chordata; Aves; Anseriformes; Anatidae
Description: lncRNA (ENSAZOG00000017200.1)
Source: RNAcentral